AUUGAACGCUGGCGGCAGGCCUAACACAUGCAAGUCGAGCGGAUGAAGGGAGCUUGCUCCUGGAUUCAGCGGCGGACGGGUGAGUAAUGCCUAGGAAUCUGCCUGGUAGUGGGGGAUAACGUCCGGAAACGGGCGCUAAUACCGCAUACGUCCUGAGGGAGAAAGUGGGGGAUCUUCGGACCUCACGCUAUCAGAUGAGCCUAGGUCGGAUUAGCUAGUUGGUGGGGUAAAGGCCUACCAAGGCGACGAUCCGUAACUGGUCUGAGAGGAUGAUCAGUCACACUGGAACUGAGACACGGUCCAGACUCCUACGGGAGGCAGCAGUGGGGAAUAUUGGACAAUGGGCGAAAGCCUGAUCCAGACAUGCCGCGUGUGUGAAGAAGGUCUUCGGAUUGUAAAGCACUUUAAGUUGGGAGGAAGGGCAGUAAGUUAAUACCUUGCUGUUUUGACGUUACCAAAAGAAUAAGCACCGGCUAACUUCGUG
RNAcentral lists this ribosomal RNA (484 nucleotides) under uncultured bacterium. RNAcentral's name for it is "partial 16S ribosomal RNA". It matches the Rfam family "Bacterial small subunit ribosomal RNA", at positions 30 to 507 of the family's 1533-position model. The record is from RNAcentral.